AGAGUUUGAUCAUGGCUCAGAUUGAACGCUGGCGGCAGGCCUAACACAUGCAAGUCGAACGGUAACAGGAAGAAGCUUGCUUCUUUGCUGACGAGUGGCGGACGGGUGAGUAAUGUCUGGGAAACUGCCUGAUGGAGGGGGAUAACUACUGGAAACGGUAGCUAAUACCGCAUAACGUCGCAAGACCAAAGAGGGGGACCUUCGGGCCUCUUGCCAUCGGAUGUGCCCAGAUGGGAUUAGCUUGUUGGUGGGGUAACGGCUCACCAAGGCGACGAUCCCUAGCUGGUCUGAGAGGAUGACCAGCCACACUGGAACUGAGACACGGUCCAGACUCCUACGGGAGGCAGCAGUGGGGAAUAUUGCACAAUGGGCGCAAGCCUGAUGCAGCCAUGCCGCGUGUAUGAAGAAGGCCUUCGGGUUGUAAAGUACUUUCAGCGGGGAGGAAGGGAGUAAAGUUAAUACCUUUGCUCAUUGACGUUACCCGCAGAAGAAGCACCGGCUAACUCCGUGCCAGCAGCCGCGGUAAUACGGAGGGUGCAAGCGUUAAUCGGAAUUACUGGGCGUAAAGCGCACGCAGGCGGUUUGUUAAGUCAGAUGUGAAAUCCCCGGGCUCAACCUGGGAACUGCAUCUGAUACUGGCAAGCUUGAGUCUCGUAGAGGGGGGUAGAAUUCCAGGUGUAGCGGUGAAAUGCGUAGAGAUCUGGAGGAAUACCGGUGGCGAAGGCG
RNAcentral lists this ribosomal RNA (726 nucleotides) under uncultured Escherichia sp. RNAcentral describes it as "bacterial SSU rRNA". It matches the Rfam family "Bacterial small subunit ribosomal RNA", at positions 8 to 723 of the family's 1533-position model. The record is from RNAcentral. Lineage: Bacteria; Pseudomonadati; Pseudomonadota; Gammaproteobacteria; Enterobacterales; Enterobacteriaceae.